Setaria italica (foxtail millet) is the source of this 958-nucleotide long non-coding RNA. RefSeq lists it as uncharacterized. The transcript is spliced from 3 exons. Lineage: Eukaryota; Viridiplantae; Streptophyta; Magnoliopsida; Poales; Poaceae. The record is from RefSeq and is a predicted model, not a curated record.
UUUCUGAAAAAUGAUCUAAUCUUUCUUCUCUAAACGGGCUGAACUCCUGAGCCCGGCCCGCUUCACACCAGCCUAGCAGGCCGCCAACCUUUUUCUUCUGCUGACCCGGCCCAGCUCCUCCUCUCUCAAGCCGGCCUUGCCUUCCUCUUCCACCAGCCUGACCCACCACCUGUCCCUCUCUCCCCCUCACCGCCAGGAGGGCCCCACCUAUCAGAUCCACCUUCCUCCUCUGGCCGCGCCACCAGGCCAAGCUGCGCCACCAUGCCGGUGUCCCUUCGCCUCCCGGUGUUGCUCCGGCUCCCCACACCCCCUCGGCUUCCCGUGCCCGCUCGCCUCUCGCACGAGCGCCGCUUGCCCCUCCAUUUCCUCUCCCCUACCAGAAACCAUCGCCCCCACCGCUGGUUGCCAUUAAUGGUUGCUGCCGCCCUUUCCUGUCCACCAGCGCCCCUUCCGCUCCCCUUGCCCCUUCGCCCUAUAAAACGAGCACCUGAGCCCCGGGAGUCCCUACUUCUUCUCGCCCGCCGCCGCACUGCUUCGCCAAGCGCCGCCGCACAAAGCCUCUGAGCCGCCGCUGCUUACCCGCGCCCGCCACCGCCUGUGUUGCUCCUGUGCCGAGUCGCCGGGCUGCUAGCGUUUCUGUCGUGGCGCCCACUGCACCGGUGCGCCACCAUCGCCGCAACCGCGCGCGCCCUGCCCCUUUGGCCCGACUAGCAGCCGCCGCUGGUAAUCUGACCGGACACACGAGCGGAGGAAGCAGGAACUGGAGGUAGAAGAUAAGGCACUGUUUUGCAAUGAAGUCCCUGAAAAACUUAUCUAACCUCGAUCUUUCAGCUUUUCAAGUGUCCUGUUCUCUGAGUCUAGAAGGAUCGCCGUCUGAAGCUUUGAAGGUUAAGAGUUUCAAGAAAGCAAGGACCGAAGAGCAAUAAGAGUAACUUGUCGUUGGAGAAAGGCAAGUGUC